UUGGUAACCUAGCCUCACUCUGAGAGCGUCUCAAGCCGUCUGUAAAUUAGGGAGAGCCAA
RNAcentral lists this non-coding RNA (60 nucleotides) under unclassified sequences. The record is from RNAcentral.